GGGUGAAGACGAGUUCGUCCUACCUUACCUACAUUUGAAUUUGGACUUCAGCAAAUUGCGAGCAUGAACUGAAUUCUGAAAAAAUACAUUUUGCCGAUGUUCUUGCAGGUUCAGGAACAACUUUGGCUUGAGGUUGUGCAAAGACCAUCGCCCGUCCCUACCUUACCUACAGGUUCGGGUCUUAAUUAAACUCGAUUGUCAAAAUGGAUAGAGUACUUAGAAAAACAUUGCUUAGUGUUCCGUUCUUGUAUACUAAUUAACCUGUCAGGUUGGUGCUGAUUUGGGACUAUGAUUAAAACUAGAGGCUGAUGUUGUUCAGGCUCAUGGAGCUCAUGGAGCUCGACCUCUCCUCCGUGGCCUCCGUCUGCAAGUUCGCCGAUGACAUCCUCAUGUAUGUACGCCUCUUCUAAUCUCCGCACUGGUUCAUACUAGUUCCAAUCAUGCCCCACCAAAAAAGAAAACAUACACUAGUGUCACAGUUCACUAUGGAUUUGGUCAUCAGUUCAUAAAAAAUCACAGAAAAUAGAACAAUGUCCAUGGGAGGCUCCCUUCUGGAUGUCGGUGCCGGAGGGGUAUCCCCGCAGCCAUAGACUUCUCUUCUCUCCUGCAAUGCAAGGUUGAUUUUCCUCUUAAACAUUCACACGAAAAAGAAUAGAGCUACUCCAUACACAUUGUGUGUCGGCGUCAGAACAUCUUAUACUAAUUAGUAAGUUCAGGAAAUAUGUUCCAAACUGAAGCUCAGACAAGGAGACUGGGAUAUAUAGACAGAGUGCUAUGAUGUGUGUUGUUAGUUAUGAAUAAUUCGGGGAAAAAACUGGAUACUCAUCAUGGGUUAUGAAGUAGACAAAAAUGCAUUUCACAGCAUUUGCUAUAUAUGCGUACACCUUUGUAGUCUUUUUCAGUUCAAGUUUUGCUAGGAAAAAAAGAUUUGUCGCAAUUCAAUAUAAAAUAGUGAAAUCAGUUAGCUGAUGGAAAAUAAUUCAAGUAUAUGUGUGCACACUGGAGUAGCAAUUCGGGCAUGCAUGGUGUGUGCUCUGUGUGUUAUUUUUCCGAGAUGUGAGCUGUCUGAUCCUCUAAAUAGGAGAAUUUGUGUUUAUUGAGAUACCAUAGAUGGGUGCCAUUCGUGCUCCCAUUUAUAUUUGGGCUUAUCAUAGUUCACUAGGGAGAGCUAUUUUGUACAGAAGUACAUGUAUUGAUGCCCCGGGAGUCCAUGUAUCGUUACAAAAAAUAGUUUAGUUUUUGUUAAAAAUUGCUUGCACCUGUUUCAUUCCUCCAGAUGCCCCCUCCUCUUGCCUACUCCCUGACCAUCUUCCUCCUGCCCCAUCCGUCCAGGUAUGGUACUCACACCAGUUCAAGUAGUGAUGUUGCAACAAGUACAGCUCCUCCCCUGUCAAGCUUAGUGAGCCAAAAAAGAGCAUGUUGAUGGAUGAUUGCUAGCUCGCUUCAUCAGCGGCAGAUUUUCCCCGCACACCGCACUCCUCCUUCCCCAACGCCCGCCACCUACCUCCAUCGUGCACUCCCGACUUCCUCAUUCAUCCUGUUGUCAUGUCUCGGGCGCUGCCCUCCGGCAACCGGUGAUGCUCCUCCCGCCACCACUCGGCCUCCUUCCCGAUGGAGCUACGCCACCGCCGCGUGCAGGAAGUUCAUCGCCUCCACCCCAGGCCGUUCAAUGCCAUCGUCGUGGACGUGCCCCGCUCUAACACCAUGGAUUGCGAUUGAGCGGCAAACAAUGGAGCCUGUAGAAGGAGUCGCGGGGUCGAGGACCUCCAGUUCGUCAGUCCAACAAAAGGCUGUAGAAAGUUGAGACUAGUUUGCAUUAAGGUUAGCCCCUUUGUUUAUUCAUUAGUACAAGUUAUUUAGUUCUACUUAGAUUAUGUUCAGUACAUUGCUUCUUAUUUUCCAGUGACAACAAAUUUUACACAUAUAACAAAUCCACAUUUUUUAUAUGACACAACACUUUGGGUUGGCUAAAUUUACGUGAAUGCUCUCUUCUGACUUCAACUGUAACUAAGAAUCUUGCUAAAUAGGUUGCAUUUUGAAUCGAGAGUGCAGCUAAUAGCCAGUGUCGCUGCUUUUUUUCUCGACAAGGAAAAAAUAGCUAUUGUUGUUCUGAAGUUUUAGGAAUUUCAAGGAACUAUUUUAGGAAGAAUUAGCUUAUUGAGCUACUGUAGAUGGCUGGCAUUUGUGCCUUGAAGGUUUGUGUGCAUUUCAUAGUUCACCAAUCUUAUCUGAUUUCACUCACUUCCGUUACCAUGUUAUUUCUAGCAUAGCAUGUCUAAAAAUGCAGAAGUAGUGCCAAAAAAAUGUCAUUGUGUUAUGCAUAUAAAAGCUUUAUAAAAAUGCACAAAUUAUUGUGUUUUUUGGUAACUCACGGUUGUGUGUAGCUCUUGUAUGUCUUCGGGAUACUUAUGCAUACUGUUGUUUGGUACAUAUCUUCAGUACAAGUUUGGAAGGCAAGGAAGUUCUACCGCUGGCAUACACCGAGUUCAGAGAUGUUGCACGGAGUGAGCCGACACCGCCGUAAAAAAUGGUUUAUGAGCAUACUGUUGUUUGGUACUUAUGCAUACUGUUGUAGAAGUGAAAAUUGUUGGGUGCAUGUGCAGAAAAAUUGUCAGUUCAGUUUUCAAAAUUCUGUAAGUUUCUCGUGUGUGCUACUACAAAUCUGAACUAUUUGUCUAGACAUUCUAGUACUGAUGCAAUCGCCUAAAAUAAGUUCAAGAAAAAAUCAGUAAGUUUGGUGCGUGUGCUGCUACAAAUCUAAAAAUCUUCUUGAGUCAUUCUAGUACUGGAAUCUCUUUUAGUCUGUAGCAUAGAGAAUAUUUUUAUGCUCAUUCGUUCACAUUAUGAAGCUCAUUUAUAGUUUCUUUUCUCAUUCUGUUAAUUAAGAAAAUGCUUAUUGACCUUGAAGCAUUUGUUUCCCUGAUGUUCAGAUAUUAUCGUCUAGGAAUACAUGAUGUAACAUCGAGAGAAAAAUUUCAUGUUGAUUACUCCCGUCAAUUGUAAAAGUUUGCCAAUAUGCAAUCCAUAAGUUCAAUAUCCAGUACAUUAAUUUAGUAGUUGGUACUAACUACUCCAGUUUUUUAUUUGAUGUACCUGUGGUGUCUAGUUUCUUCUGUCAGUUAGAUUUCUAAAUUUCAUCCAGUUCAAUUCAUAUUGUAGCCCCAAUUUAGUCCACGUGGUUAAUUGUUGGCUGGUGUGUGUGCAGGGUAUCGUGACAUUGAGUAGGCGUGAAGUGUAUCACUCCAGCACGCCAAGCUCCAUUACAUGUCAACGUCUUUUCCACUGCAAUGGAAGCUCCUCUGUUCGAGUUGAGCACUUGUCAUCGUCCAAGUUGAGCACUAGGUGCCGUCCAAGUUCAAAGAGGGUUGCAUGCAAGUACAUAAGUUUGCUUUAGUGAGAAAAAUGCGGGGUUUUGACAAUAUUCUAUAUGAUUCAUUUAUUCAAACUUAGGACAUGGCAAUGUUCGGUCUAUUUUUCUAUGAUGAAGGCACACAUGAAGUCCUGUGCAAUCGUUAUCCCCCGUAGUGCUUCAAAGAUUCAUAUUUUGUUUCUUCAAAUGUGGUGUGCGCCUGUUUGAUGAGAUAGAACAAAGUAAAAUAGUGAAAAUGUCAUUAAAGACACUUGGAAGUACAAAUGUAGAAAAUAAAUAAGUUCUGAUUCUCGUCAGGUAGGAAGUUUGGAGAAGAAAACAUAAGCUUUUAAAAGAAGAAAAUGGUAAAAAUGUAAGUUUAUAAAAGAAGAAACUGGUAAAAAUGAAAGUCCAUUCAACUAUAUAAACCAUAAAGGUACGAUGGCGAUGACACCAUCAG
RNAcentral lists this long non-coding RNA (3809 nucleotides) under Triticum aestivum (bread wheat). Its description in RNAcentral is "long non-coding RNA (TAES_LNC008102)". The record is from RNAcentral. Lineage: Eukaryota; Viridiplantae; Streptophyta; Magnoliopsida; Poales; Poaceae.